Molecule: transfer RNA, 23 nt
Filed under: Vini australis
Lineage: Eukaryota; Metazoa; Chordata; Aves; Psittaciformes; Psittaculidae
Description: partial tRNA-Glu
Source: RNAcentral
GUUCUUGUAGUUGAGUUGCCAAC